UUUGAGGGGAGAUCGUAACAAGUUUCCGUAGGGGACCUGCGGAGGAUCAUUG
RNAcentral lists this ribosomal RNA (52 nucleotides) under Rauvolfia tetraphylla. RNAcentral's name for it is "partial 18S ribosomal RNA". Lineage: Eukaryota; Viridiplantae; Streptophyta; Magnoliopsida; Gentianales; Apocynaceae. The record is from RNAcentral.